RNAcentral lists this transfer RNA (82 nucleotides) under Gelatoporia subvermispora B. It matches the Rfam family "tRNA". Rfam says of the family: Transfer RNA (tRNA) molecules are approximately 80 nucleotides in length. Their secondary structure includes four short double-helical elements and three loops (D, anti-codon, and T loops). The record is from Rfam by way of RNAcentral. Lineage: Eukaryota; Fungi; Basidiomycota; Agaricomycetes; Polyporales; Gelatoporiaceae.
GGCCGACUGGCGAAAUGGCAUCGCGUCUGACUACGAUUCUACUGUAAUCAGGAGAUUGCAGGUUCGACCCCUGCGUCGGUCA